Molecule: ribosomal RNA, 1569 nt
Organism: Tessaracoccus bendigoensis DSM 12906
Lineage: Bacteria; Bacillati; Actinomycetota; Actinomycetes; Propionibacteriales; Propionibacteriaceae
Rfam family: Bacterial large subunit ribosomal RNA
Source: Rfam
UGACAAGCUACUAAGUGCGAUCGGUGGAUGCCUUGGCACCAAGAGCCGAUGAAGGACGUUGUAACCUGCGAUAAGCCAUGGGGAGCUGGUAAACGAGCUUUGAUCCGUGGAUUUCCGAAUAGGGAAACCUUGAAUUUCCGGAGUCAUGUCCGGCGACCUCUGCCUGAAUGUAUAGGGCAGUUGGAGGGAACGUGGGGAAGUGAAACAUCUCAGUACCCAUAGGAAGAGAAAACAAUUGUGAUUCCGUUAGUAGUGGCGAGCGAACGCGGAAGAGGCCAAACCUUACUUGUGUGAUAGCUGACAGGCGUUGCAGGUUGGGUGUUGUGGGGCCGUUUUGGUUGCGCUGUCGAGCAGCUGGAGAGUUAUAAAUGAUCAGUGAAGUUGAAGUAGUCUGGAAAGCUACAGCAUAGCGGGUAAUACUCCUGUAGACGUAAGUUGGUCACUCUUUAACGUUACCCCAAGUAGCACGGAACCCGUGAAAUUCCGUGUGAAUCUGGCGGGACCAUCCGCUAAGCCUAAAUACUCCUUGGUGACCGAUAGCGGACAAGUACCGUGAGGGAAAGGUGAAAAGUACCCCGGGAGGGGAGUGAAAUAGUACCUGAAACCGAUCGCAUACAAUCCGUCGGAGCCUCUUUUUUGGGGUGACGGCGUGCCUUUUGAAGAAUGAGCCUGCGAGUUAGUGGUAUGUGGCAAGGUUAACCCGUGUGGGGUAGCCGUAGCGAAAGCGAGUCCUAAUAGGGCGUUUGAGUCGCAUGCUCUAGACCCGAAGCGGAGUGAUCUAUCCAUGGCCAGGUUGAAGCGACGGUAAGACGUCGUGGAGGACCGAACUCACUUGGGUUGAAAACCGAGGAGAUGAGCUGUGGAUAGGGGUGAAAGGCCAAUCAAACUCCGUGAUAGCUGGUUCUCCCCGAAAUGCAUUUAGGUGCAGCGUCGCGUGUUUCUUACCGGAGGUAGAGCACUGGAUGGUCUAGGGGGCCUAAAAGCUUACCGAAAUCAGCCAAACUCCGAAUGCCGGUAAGUGAGAGCGCGGCAGUGAGACAGUGGGGGAUAAGCUUCAUUGUCGAGAGGGAAACAGCCCAGAUCAUCAGCUAAGGCCCCUAAGCGUUAACUAAGUGGAAAAGGAUGUGGAGUUGCGGAGACAACCAGGAGGUUGGCUUGGAAGCAGCCACCCUUGAAAGAGUGCGUAAUAGCUCACUGGUCAAGUGAUUCUGCGCCGACAAUUUAGCGGGGCUCAAGUUAACCGCCGAAGCUAUGGCAUUCGCAUGUGUGACGGUAACGUCGUGCGGAUGGGUAGGGGAGCGUCGUGUGCGCGUUGAAGCGGCGGGGGGACCUAGUCGUGGAGAGCACACGAGUGAGAAUGCAGGCAUGAGUAGCGAAAGACGGGUGAGAAACCCGUCCGCCGAAUAUCCAAGGGUUCCAGGGUCAAGCUAAUCUGCCCUGGGUAAGUCGGGACCUAAGGCGAGGCCGACAGGCGUAGUCGAUGGACAACGGGUUGAUAUUCCCGUACCGGCGAAAUAUCGUCCGUGCUGAAUCGAGUGAUGCUGAGCAUGCGAGGUCUGGUGAUGUCUU